Molecule: ribosomal RNA, 253 nt
Filed under: uncultured bacterium
Lineage: Bacteria
Description: partial 16S ribosomal RNA
Rfam family: Bacterial small subunit ribosomal RNA
Source: RNAcentral
UACAGAGGUCCCAAGCGUUGUUCGGAUUCACUGGGCGUAAAGGGUGCGUAGGCGGUCGGGUAAGUCUGAUGUGAAAUCUCACAGCUUAACUGUGAAACUGCAUUGGAUACUAUCCGGCUCGAGGAAUGGAGGGGAGACUGGAAUACUUGGUGUAGCAGUGAAAUGCGUAGAGAUAUGGAGGAACACCAGUGGCGAAGGCGACUUUCUGGUCUGCAACUGACACUGAGGCGCGAAAGCGUGGGGAGCAAACAGG